Molecule: long non-coding RNA, 2414 nt
Organism: Papio anubis (olive baboon)
Lineage: Eukaryota; Metazoa; Chordata; Mammalia; Primates; Cercopithecidae
Source: Ensembl
CAUGGAACAAGUGCCUGUUUCAGUCUCUUAUUUAAGCACCGCAGAUGCGUUGAAACCUAAUAAAAACAGUUCCCUGGCAUAUCAACCCUAACCAGAGAGUAAGAAGCUAAAAAUCUGUGAAUCGCCUACAACCAAAGGGGAGUCUUUUGAGAGCUGCAUUGUUAAAACUCUGAGAACAGGUGCUCUCCAGAUACGUUCUCAAGGACACAUUCAUCUGUGAAUGCGGAUUUUUAUUCCUGUGCCUCAUUCUGUUGGAGCUGUAGAAAACCAAACUCUAUCUGGUCAAGAGCUCAGGGUGAUCUUUGAGCUAACGAGGACGCUAGGUGACACCAAGCCCAAACACUCUCUGAGCAAGUGCCUGGUCCUGAGAGGUGAUCGAGGUCACACGACUAUAAGAUAUAGGCAGGAACUGAAAAAUCACAUCUCCAGACUCAUCACUUGGGCUGGUACUUAGUGAUAUAUACGUGGACUUGGACACUGGAAACCUCGGCAUGAAUAGCUUCACCAAGAUAACUAGGCAUUCAUCAUGUCCCAUUCAAUAAAAUAAAGAAGUUAGAAAAUAAUGCACUCUGUGACAUCUUGUAUCUGCCAUGUAAAAUUUUAAUCAUGUAUAUGACCUUGCAUUUGUAGGAUAUAGUAAAUUCCUCUUCAAAGGUUUUAGCCUGUAAUUUGUUAAGUACAAUGAGUUCUGAGAUCCUCCUUAAAGAACCAAUGUAUCAGUAUGUUCAGCUCCCCUGUUCUUUGUUCUCCAUUUUAAAAUUUAACUUCCUUGUUCUCCUCACCCCUAGUUUCAGUAAACAACCUUUCCCACCAGUUCUAAUCGGUAGUUCACAACUGUUCCUCUGGUCACCUGCUCUGUCUUGAGUCACUCCUAGUCACCUGCUCCAUCCUGAGUCACCCCUGGUCACCUGCUCUGACCUGAAUCAUCCUGAGUCACCUGUUCUGUAACUGCCCUUCCGACCAAACUACUCACCCCGGCACUAUGGCUAGUACCCCUGCUUUCUUUCAAAUAGCCAAUCAGAAUUAGCUUAGACUGUGUAGUCCAACCCUAGCCAAUAGGGGAAUGACACAGCAGUAGGGGCUACCUGCAUCAGGAAUAAAAACCCCUUCCCCUCCCUUGUUUGGGUGUGCUCGCCAUUGCUCCUUCCGUGAGUCAUACCCUUCUAUGGAAGUAAAAUUGCCUUGCUGAGAAAAUUGAAUUUAUGUUUGAGUGCUAUUUCUUUUGCUGCACCAAAAAUUUAUUUAUAACACAUUUAUGAAUCUGUAUUUGCUAAUAAUGGCUGCUAUUGAAAGAUCGGAGAGCUUAGAAGCAACUUUCAUCUAUAUUUUUUGUAAAUAAGGUGAUGCUGAUUCUAGAUCUUACCAAGGUGUUAGACAAAACAAGUUAUUCCAUUGAGUGAAAAAUGAAGAGCUUUUGACCCCAGCCUUCUAAUACUACACUUGCCUCAGUACCCAUGGAAGGCAAAUCAUUUAUACACUAAUACUCACAUUUGCAUUUUAUAAUUGGUAUGGUAGUAAAUAGUUUAUAAGCAAAAUGAAAUUCAGUUUAGUUAUUAGGAAUUCAUGUUCACAAAAGGCAAAGAUACAAGUGUGUAGCUGGUUUAUCAGAAUAGGAAAGCAAAGGAUUAUAUGGAUUGAGAAUGCCAGAGAAUUCAAAGAUAGAAAGAAAGUUGUGAUUCAUGUUGCAUGUUAGAUAUGGACUAGGAGCUGAAACCCAAAGAAGUUCAAUUACUUGUCCAAGUUCAUAUAACUAGUUGGGGGUAAAACCAGGGCUAUAAGAGAAAUCUCUUCUUUGUGAUCCAAUUCUUACACCACAAUACUGUGCUUCUUUUUGAAGAUUAGAUUUUCAUAUCUGUAGCUCAAUACAUUUUAAUCAUAUAUCUCAAAAUUUCCUUCUAAGUGAUUGUUAGGUAAACACGUUUAUUUUCAAAAGUAGCAGUAUUGCCUCAGGAGGUCACCAGGAGCUUUUAAUGCAGUUUUCAUUGUCAGUUGUUCUGCUCCAGCUGAAAGCAACAGUCUCCAGGCUCCUGUGCAACCCAAAUUCAGAAUGUGUUAAAAUCCCUGGAGACCGCUCUGCCAUGGGGCCCUAAAGAAUUCACACAGUCACUAACAAGAGUCCAGAAAUCAAUUUAGUGGCUAAAAUAUGGUACCUUGAGUCCCCACAUAAUGUGAGGCUGUGGGUUCUCUGCCAAAAGUGGGGUCUACAAUGUUUGACUCUGUAAGCUUUAGUGUGAAGAAAACCAGGGCUUGGAGGACAUCUGAAACCCUCAUGACUUUUUAAAAAAUUUUUUCCCUCUUGAAUUUUAAAUAGAGCUGAGCUGUGAGAAUCCUUUUAAAGUUUUUGACAAUUUCCUAAAAUACAGUAUGCACAUUGCCAUUGCCAGGUGAUAUGAGUAGAGCUCAUUUCACCCAAG